This 21-nucleotide non-coding RNA is filed under the name Caenorhabditis elegans. The record is from RNAcentral. Lineage: Eukaryota; Metazoa; Nematoda; Chromadorea; Rhabditida; Rhabditidae.
UUGUGAGUUGAAUUUUGGAAC